This 542-nucleotide long non-coding RNA is filed under the name Helianthus annuus (common sunflower). RNAcentral describes it as "sRNA HanXRQr2_Chr07g0291751". Lineage: Eukaryota; Viridiplantae; Streptophyta; Magnoliopsida; Asterales; Asteraceae. The record is from RNAcentral.
CCCUAAAAAUAACACUAAGCCGUACACCUCUCCUUCCCUCUCUACCAACCUGCCGGCCAGAUAUUCCGGCGACCAGAGCUGUAAUUCCGGCGCGCUGGUUCUCCGACAUGCACACCAAACCCUCACAACCCAUCCCCCAGUUAUAUCUUCUCUAAACCCACACACACAUCAGACAAAACUCUCGAACCAAACAUCUCCUUCUCGAUUAUUCUCCGACGAAGAUGGUGGUGCCAGUGGGAUGGGUAGCAAAACAAAGAACAAUGAUUUCUUUUGUGGAGACCUACCUGCUCUCCGGUGAUGUAAGGAAAUCGGGCUAUAGGCUGUGUUGCUGGCGGGACUCCGAAAUAACAUCGUGAAGGCUGUGGAACUCCCUGUACGCGGCAGCGGGGUUGUGGGGGUGGCUGCGGCUCGGGACCGACACGGUGACAUUAACAAAAGGGAUGGUGGUAGCGACCCUAGGUACUCAUGGAGCUUGCACGAGGAGGCGUGGACGUUGUGGGACAUGGACUGUUGAGUUCCAUGUUAAACUUAUGAACCUUUAA